This 253-nucleotide ribosomal RNA is filed under the name uncultured bacterium. Its description in RNAcentral is "partial 16S ribosomal RNA". It matches the Rfam family "Bacterial small subunit ribosomal RNA", at positions 524 to 776 of the family's 1533-position model. The record is from RNAcentral.
UACGGGGGGGGCAAGCGUUGUUCGGAAUUAUUGGGCGUAAAGAGCUCGUAGGCGGUUUGUUGCGUCUAUCGUGAAAACCUGCAGCUUAACUGUGGGCUUGCGGUGGAUACGGGCAGACUUGAGUUCGGUAGGGGAGACUGGAAUUCCUGGUGUAGCGGUGGAAUGCGCAGAUAUCAGGAAGAACACCAACGGCGAAGGCAGCUCGCUGGGACGGUACUGACGCUGAGACGCGAAAGCGUGGGGAGCGAACAGG